RNAcentral lists this ribosomal RNA (253 nucleotides) under uncultured bacterium. RNAcentral's name for it is "partial 16S ribosomal RNA". It matches the Rfam family "Bacterial small subunit ribosomal RNA", at positions 524 to 776 of the family's 1533-position model. The record is from RNAcentral.
UACGAGUGCUCCAAGCGUUAUCCGGAAUCAUUGGGCGUAAAGAGCUCGUAGGCGGUUUGUUGCGUCGGCUGUGAAAUCCCGAGGCUCAACCUCGGGUCUGCAGUCGAUACGAGCAAACUAGAGUGUUGCAGGGGAGACUGGAAUUCCUGGUGUAGCGGUGAAAUGCGCAGAUAUCAGGAGGAACACCGGUGGCGAAGGCGGGUCUCUGGGCCGUAACUGACGCUGAGGAGCGAAAGCAUGGGGAGCGAACAGG